RNAcentral lists this long non-coding RNA (361 nucleotides) under Brassica napus (rape). RNAcentral's name for it is "long non-coding RNA (BNAP_LNC008915)". The record is from RNAcentral. Lineage: Eukaryota; Viridiplantae; Streptophyta; Magnoliopsida; Brassicales; Brassicaceae.
GGGUUCACAGGUGCUUUCUUCUUGAGAAGGUUCCCAACUUUACCAAGCAAAGUCUUCUUCUUCUUGAGUUUCUUCUCCAUCACAAGCUGAUCUUCGGUUCCUAUUUCAUCCACGUUGUUCUCUGUUGAGGUUUUAUCGUUUUCGUCGAUUUUGCUUGAGUCUUCUUCCUCCUCUUCUUGAGUCUCUAGUGGAAGAUUCUUGUCGGGGAAAGCUUCUUUCUUCUCGAUUUGGCAACUUUCCCACAUUUUGAACAUAACUUCCACCGAAUCAUCUUUGUCAUCAUCAGCUUGAGACUUCAUCUCGGUUUUCGCUUCAGGUUCACCAUUCAUGUCUUUCUCCUCCACACCAUUCCCAUUGCUGA